GCUCACCCGAGGCUCAGCUGGAGAUGGGGUGGCUUUCGAGCAGCUUACGCUCCGUCCCAGCGCAUCACCCGGCAUUGAUUGAUCGCCUUUACUGCAGGCUCUGACAAGAGAGAUUAUCCUAGUGAAGGCUCAGAGGCAGCGUGCAGCAUGGAACAAGUUCUGCUCAGCGCUCCUGGUGCCUGCCUGCUGCCCUCAGCCAGCACUGAGCAUUCGCACGGUGCUCCCUCGGAUUGCAGCAUCUUUCUGUUUUCCUACAAUGCAGACUCAUCCUGGAAAAAUAGAUCUGGUUUGCCCAGGAGGAGAUUCUCAAGUUAAAAGUGAGCAACAGGAGAGAAGAAAUCACACAGCAAGAUGUGCACCCUUGGGAAAAGCCUUUUGCCUCCCCAGUGGGACAAACACGCUCCUGCCCAGAUGCAAAACUGCACACACAGAGCAAUAAAAUCCCCCCAGUCUGGCAGUGCAUCGGCAGAAAUCAGACCACAAAAGGACAGGAUUUCUUUCUGUCUUUUUCCAUGGGAGACACAUGGCUUCCCUGGACGCACAGCAGGAAACAUUCGGGCGCCGGUAGAGUUUCUGUGAUUUCUCUCUAUUCCCAUUUGUACUCUCUUUAGCUCCAGGGUUUAAUUCUCCUCCCAUUCAGGAGCACACCGCUGGCGAGCCCAGAGGCAAAUGGCUGAGCUCCCAUUGCUUGGCACUGGCUCAGAGGCCAGGGGAUGGAGGGAGCUGGGGCCAGCCCUGCCUCGCUGGGAAGGGGAAGCAGAAAGGAGGCAGCAGAUGGAGUUUGGGGAGAAUAUAAGGAUAAGGAUGAAGUGCCUGAAAUAAACCUCAAAACAACUAAAACAACACCAAGAGGGAGUCAAAAAGGCAGCUGCAGUCACAAGACCUGUGUAUAGUAUUGUGGGUUCCUCUGCUAGACAAAAGAGAGCAUCUUCCCGCUCAGGGAUGAACUAAUGCUGCUCUGCUUUUCUGUCCUUUGAAUCUUCAUCUUUUCCCCCAGCUAAUGCAUGGGGAAGGUGGGCUAUUCUGGAGUCACCGUGAAUUGGUUUCAUUUCCUUGCUUGCUGGAGCUGAGUAAGGGCUAUUUCAUCUCAACAGGCUUCUCCCAGCACACCUUAAUUUGAGAUCUCCUGCAUGCAGGAAGCAAUGGAGUUAAGUGACCUUGCUGAAUCCCGACUGCUGCAGCUGCAGGAGAACGGGGAAGGAAAAGAAGAGAGGGGAGGAGGAAGAGGCACUUUGCAGCCUCCCAUUAAAGCCCCAAGAGGCUGAAGAUGAGAGAGUGAAAGUUUCAAAUUGCCAGAAUGUAAUUCUGAAAGUCAUUUUCCAAGCGCAGAGCUCUCCGCAAUGUCACCUCUCAUCUUCCAAGGUGGGGAUAGAAGAAACAAAAAAACACAGAAUGUUCUGCAAAGACAGAGCUGCUAAUACAAAGACAGAAGAGGUGUCAGUCCCCAGACACGCUGUCUCGCACCGCCUUCUUCUGGGAGAUCUGUGCAGCUCGGGUGCACCUGUACCGGGGAACCAUUCCCAGCUCCUUUCCCAAGCCAUAUCCAACCUGGGUGAGCGCUCUGGCUGAGCUGACUAUGGCUUUUUCCAGCCCUUCUAAGAGCAAGGAUAUCAAAGAAGUCUGCAUAUUCAACAGUUACAGUUUACAUUUGAAUGAAACUCCUGACCUUCAAUUCAAUACAGUGAUUAUGUUAAUGAUUAAUACUAUUAUUAAUUUCUUAGCCUUCUCUAGCAAAAGACCGUGAUGGAUGUGCGGGAGAAAAGGUGCACUUAGAUAUUCACCCCCCUCUGCCCAACCCAACAAAGCUAUCCCUCCCGGCUCCCCCUUCCAGCUCUUUGCCUUCAAAGAAAUCUGAAUUAAGGAGUUAGACGCAUUCAACAAAGAGUUCAGCCCAGGAUCUCGUACCAAAGAGCGAAUUAGCCUCUUGUUCUACAUUCUUUGCUGACCUUUAUUCCAGCUGCACCCCCUCUUAUGUUUAUAAAAUAAAAAAUUACCCAAAU
Gallus gallus (chicken) is the source of this 2000-nucleotide long non-coding RNA. The record is from Ensembl. NCBI's taxonomy places the organism in Eukaryota, Metazoa, Chordata, Aves, Galliformes, Phasianidae.